AGGGCGCAGGCGCCGCGCGUGCUCAUCCUCGGCGGCGUGGGUGCUGCUCUUCGCCUCCAUCGGCUCCGCUGCCGGCUGUCUCUUACCCAGCCAGCUCCAUGAGGACCAAGCAAGUGAACUUCCUGAUCGCGUUCGCAGCGGUCGUGCUCUUCAGCUUCUCCUGCUUCUGCAUCUCUAGGAUGACUCAAACCAAUAAUCAAUUAAUUAAUUGUAGAAACCAUAUUCUGGAGUUUAAGGAAAAUAUGCUACGUUUAAAAAACAAAACUGAAACAAAUCGCCAAGAACUGAUGAAAACCUUGAAUAGAAUGAAGGAUGAAAUUGAACAGAGAGAAAAUCUAUCAGCACGCUUAGUUGAGAAGAAAGUGAAUACAUCAGAUAAGAUUGAAACCGUAACUAAUGCAUUUGAAAUCUUAAAGUUCUUUCUUCCUCAUCUAAGGAAAGUAGGCAGAAUUUAUCCUAAUGUAAUCAUUGGCAAAGAGAAAACAGGCGUUUCCUUUGCGCUGGGUAUUCCCACUGUUAACAGAGGAAAUCAUACUUACCUGAAGCAAACCCUGACCUCUAUUGUCUCCAGAAUGACUCUUUCGGAAGAGAAUGACUCUGUGGUUAUUGUCUCUAUUGCAGAUAGUAAUGAAGAUUAUGUAAAAUCUGUUGUUGACAUGAUUACAAAAAAAUUCAGAAAGCAAGUGAAGUCUGGGUCCUUAGAGGUCAUUUCAAUACCUGCCUAUUUUUAUCCACCCAUGUUACAUGACAAGGAAUCAACUGAGGACUCAGAAAAAUUAGAGCGUUGGAAAACCAAACAAGUAUUGGAUUUUUGUUUUUUGAUGCUGUAUGCCCAGCCCAAGGCCAUGUAUUAUUUACAGCUAGAAGAUGAUAUCAUAGCUAAGAAGAGCUACUUUACAACAAUCACAGAUUUCGUACAUAAUAUCACUUCAAAUACCUGGUUUUCUAUUGAGUUUCCAGUUCUUGGAUUCAUCGGAAAGCUAUUCAAAUCUGCGGACUUAACUGACUUUGUACAGUUUUUUUUAAUGUUCUACAAAGAUAAACCCAUAGACUGGCUUUUGGGGUACAUUUUUCAGAUAAAGAUGUGUCACCCAGGAGAAACAACUGAAAAGUGUAUAGAGCGAAAUAGGGAAAUUCGUAUUCGAUAUAAACCUUCCCUUUUCCAGCAUGUGGGUAUACAGUCAUCGUUCCCUGAAAGAGAACAACAUUUAAAAGAUAUCUAUUAUUAGGAGUUCCAUAAUUCUAACACUGUCUUUAAAAAUGAUUAGAAUAAUUCUUUGGAAAAAAAUAUCAUAACAAGGAUUAGAACAUUUCUCAACUUUCUUCAUAGUGGAUAAGAGACUACAUCGUAUUUUAAAAAGUUAAAAUUUCAAUAAUAAAGUGAAAAUAUGAAGAUAAUAAGCAUAGUAAGAAGAAACUCUGUAAUACCUUGGAACCUUAGAUGACCUUGAUUUCUAACGGCAUCUUUCAGAAAUUGUAAUAAUGAAAAUAUGUAAUUAUAUAGAAGAGGAUAAAACAAUGAACAAACUGGUGGACUUAGAAGUAUUAAACUAUCUCUUAUGUCCAGAAAAAUUACAACGUUUAUCUAUGGUGUUUGUGUUCUUACUAUUACAGUUUAAUUUGAAAAUAGUAAAAGCAGGGAAGUUUUUAAAAGUGAAGAAAUGUAUUUUGUUGACUUAGAUAGUGAUGCUAACACAUAAUUUCAAUAAAUAGCUAAAAGUUCAGAAACUUGCUGUUGUCAUUGAGAGGUUCCACGUGAACUGGUAUAUACUCUCAUCCAUUUUGUUAAGACAUCUAAAGAAAUAGUGCAAAUUUAAGCAAGUCUGGGUCUGGCAGUACAGCCACAAUAUCUUCUUGUCUUUUUAAUAAACGCAUUUAAAACUAUAAACUUACCCCUAAGUGCCAUUUGAGCUGAUUACCAAACAUCUCGAUAUGUACGUAUUCUGAUCAUCAUUCAGUUUUAAAGAUUUCAUACUUUCUCUUAUUAUUGCCCUCUUAACUCAUGGGUUAUUAGGGAAUGUGUAUGUGUUUGUUUUCCCAAAUAUAUUGGUUCUUGCCACCUUUUAUUGUUGAUUUAUCAUUUAAUUACAUGGUUGUUAGAGAACUUUGCGUGAUAAAAUUUGAGAAUUGUUAUGAAUUCUUAUGUUUCACGUGAAUUUGAAAAGAAUGUAUAGUCUCUGUAUGUCCUUUUAAAAUAUGUUGCGUUCAUUUGAUUUUACAAAUAUUAGUUUUGUGCUUUAAAAAUUUCUCCUUAAAAUAUUCCUAUUUACUGGAUGCAGGGCUGUCUUACAUCAGGCUUUUUAAUAUACUUAAGUCUUUUAAAUCUUUCCUAAUUUUUGUCUGCUUGAUCCAUCAUUUUCUUAUAGAAAUCUAUUAAAGCCUGCUAUUCUUCUUAUCAUUCUAUUGAGUUUGACUUUAUUUAUUUUGAGAAUUAAUCCGAGGUAUUUCUUCUUUCUUAUCCUUCAAUCAGAUAUGAAAAUCUUAAUUCAUACUGUUGUAUUAUCCUUGAGUGCCAGAAUGUCACACAUUUACCUCAGAAUGAAUUGUAUCACAUACUACUAUAUAAAGAGAAUAUGGAAGAUAAA
Non-coding RNA from Equus caballus (horse), 2585 nucleotides. The record is from RefSeq and is a predicted model, not a curated record. NCBI's taxonomy places the organism in Eukaryota, Metazoa, Chordata, Mammalia, Perissodactyla, Equidae.